RNAcentral lists this ribosomal RNA (324 nucleotides) under uncultured eukaryote. RNAcentral's name for it is "partial 18S ribosomal RNA". It matches the Rfam family "Eukaryotic small subunit ribosomal RNA", at positions 1470 to 1796 of the family's 1831-position model. The record is from RNAcentral.
CCCUUAGAUGUUCUGGGCCGCACGCGCGCUACACUGAUGCAUUCAACGAGAUUCUUCCUGGUCCGAGAGGAAUGGGUAACCUUUUGAAAGUGCAUCGUGAUAGGGAUAGACUAUUGCAAUUAUUGGUCUUCAACGAGGAAUUCCUAGUAGACGUAGUUCAUCAGACUGCAUCGAUUACGUCCCUGCCCUUUGUACACACCGCCCGUCGCUCCUACCGAUUGAAUGCUCAGGUGAGCCAUUCGGACUUUCAUCAUGCUGGUUUCCAGUUUUGAUGAAGGAAAGUCUUGCGAACCUUAUCAUUUAGAGGAAGGAGAAGUCGUAACA